UACGGAGGGGGCUAGCGUUGUUCGGAAUUACUGGGCGUAAAGCGCACGUAGGCGGCUUUGUAAGUUAGAGGUGAAAGCCCGGAGCUCAACUCCGGAACUGCCUUUAAGACUGCAUCGCUUGAACGUCGGAGAGGUAAGUGGAAUUCCGAGUGUAGAGGUGAAAUUCGUAGAUAUUCGGAAGAACACCAGUGGCGAAGGCGACUUACUGGACGACUGUUGACGCUGAGGUGCGAAAGCGUGGGAGCAAACAGG
Molecule: ribosomal RNA, 252 nt
Filed under: uncultured bacterium
Lineage: Bacteria
Description: partial 16S ribosomal RNA
Rfam family: Bacterial small subunit ribosomal RNA
Source: RNAcentral